CAUACAGAUGGCGCUAAGCCCCAUAGACCGCCGAUGGACCGCCAUGUUUUGAACGUACGGGCUCCUAUGGAAGCUUCGCUACCAGGUAUAUUUACCUUGCCAGGCGCGCGUGCAUACGUCAUGCGCCAGACAAGCCGCAGGAGCGAGCGAGGCCGGCUGAGCAUGUGAAGCUCGCGUGCUCGGCGACCCGUCUCUUUUAGAUGUAGCCCGUUUUUUGGGGGGGCUCCCGGCGUUCUCUUGCUUUCCGUCUGCAUUUCGACAUGGCACCGCUGCACUACUGGACUACAGCAAGCUGAUGGCAUCCGGUGGAGCUUCGUACGGCAACGACUGCUGCUUACCUGGUACCACAACUUUGGAUGAAUGCAGAAGCCCGGAACGAGCAUUUAUAUAGAGCAAAAUAAACAUUUCAUCAUUUC
This is a long non-coding RNA of Dermacentor andersoni, 416 nucleotides long. RefSeq lists it as uncharacterized. The record is from RefSeq and is a predicted model, not a curated record. Lineage: Eukaryota; Metazoa; Arthropoda; Arachnida; Ixodida; Ixodidae.